RNAcentral lists this ribosomal RNA (247 nucleotides) under uncultured bacterium. RNAcentral's name for it is "partial 16S ribosomal RNA". It matches the Rfam family "Bacterial small subunit ribosomal RNA", at positions 523 to 769 of the family's 1533-position model. The record is from RNAcentral.
AUACAGAGGGUGCGAGCGUUAAUCGGAAUUACUGGGCGUAAAGGGUGUGUAGGUGGAUAGGUAAGUUAGAUGUGAAAUCCCUGGGCUCAACCUGGGAACUGCGUUUAAAACUGCUUAUCUAGAGUAAUGUAGAGGAUAGUGGAAUUUCCAGUGUAGCGGUGAAAUGCGUAGAUAUUGGAAGGAACACCAGUGGCGAAGGCGACUAUCUGGACAGAUACUGACACUGAGACACGAAAGCGUGGGGAGC